RNAcentral lists this ribosomal RNA (467 nucleotides) under uncultured bacterium. RNAcentral describes it as "partial 16S ribosomal RNA". It matches the Rfam family "Bacterial small subunit ribosomal RNA", at positions 330 to 792 of the family's 1533-position model. The record is from RNAcentral.
CCCAGACUCCUACGGGAGGCAGCAGUGAGGAAUAUUGGUCAAUGGACGGAAGUCUGAACCAGCCAUGCCGCGUGCAGGAUGACGGCUCUAUGAGUUGUAAACUGCUUUUGUAUUAGGGUAAACACCCCUACGUGUAGGGGCUUGAAAGUAUAAUACGAAUAAGGAUCGGCUAACUACGUGCCAGCAGCCGCGGUCAUACGUAGGAUCCGAGCAUUAUCCGGAGUGACUGGGUGUAAAGAGUUGCGUAGGUGGCAUAGUAAGUAGCUAGUGAAAUCUGGUGGCUCAACCAUUCAGACUAUUAGCUAAACUGCUAAGCUCGAGACCGUUAGGGGUAACUGGAAUUUCUAGUGUAGGAGUGAAAUCCGUAGAUAUUAGAAGGAACACCGAUAGCGUAGGCAGGUUACUGGGACGGUUCUGACACUAAGGCACGAAAGCGUAGGGAGCAAACGGGAUUAGAUACCCUCGUA